Long non-coding RNA from Canis lupus familiaris (dog), 515 nucleotides. RefSeq lists it as uncharacterized. The record is from RefSeq and is a predicted model, not a curated record. NCBI's taxonomy places the organism in Eukaryota, Metazoa, Chordata, Mammalia, Carnivora, Canidae. The transcript is spliced from 4 exons.
AAAAGAUCAAAAAGGAAGAGGGGACAGAGAGCCUACCCCCAAGCAGCUGCCCCCUGCACGGAUGCCCACUGCUGGGCUUUUAGCUCACAGAGUUGAGAUGCGGGGAUAUGACUUUACCCUUGGAUUGAAUCAAAUUCCCACAGUUACCCGAGAAUCAACCUUGCAACAGCUCUCAGUCCCCAGGAAGACCCCAGGAGGAUCUCACCUCUGGAGGAUCGCAGGGCUCCUCUACGUGGUGAAAAUAGACUUGAGUCAUCAUCAGACCAAGAGCAGGUGCAAGAGAGUGACUCUGCAGGAAGACCCCAGGCACCCUAGCCCUGAUGCGGCUGCAAGGCACAGAAUGAACGAGGCAGGAGGCCCCAGAUGUGGGUGAUUUCUCCACAGUGGACCCACUUACGUUCCAAUCCGAGCUCUGCCACCUGCCAGCUAUGUGACUUUGUCACCUUACCAGCCUGGGUCUCUGCUUGCCUUUCUUUGAAACAGGAAUAUUAAUAGUAAGAACCUUAUAAAGUUGU